ACUGAGUACAGCGGCGGACGGGUGAGUAACGCGUAGGAAUCUACCCAGUAGUGGGGGACAACUUAGGGAAACUUAAGCUAAUACCGCAUACGACCUAAGGGUGAAAGUGGGGGAUCUUCGGACCUCACGCUAUCAGAGGAGCCUGCGUUGGAUUAGCUAGUUGGUGGGGUAAAGGCCCACCAAGGCGACGAUCCAUAGCUGGUCUGAGAGGAUGAUCAGCCACACUGGAACUGAGACACGGUCCAGACUCC
This 251-nucleotide ribosomal RNA is filed under the name uncultured bacterium. RNAcentral describes it as "partial 16S ribosomal RNA". It matches the Rfam family "Bacterial small subunit ribosomal RNA", at positions 85 to 339 of the family's 1533-position model. The record is from RNAcentral.